Molecule: ribosomal RNA, 291 nt
Filed under: uncultured Glomeraceae
Lineage: Eukaryota; Fungi; Glomeromycota; Glomeromycetes; Glomerales; Glomeraceae
Description: partial small subunit ribosomal RNA
Rfam family: Eukaryotic small subunit ribosomal RNA
Source: RNAcentral
CGCAGCCGCGGUAAUUCCAGCUCCAAUAGCGUAUAUUAAAGUUGUUGCAGUUAAAAAGCUCGUAGUUGAAUUUCGGGAUCAUCAGGUCGGUCGUGCCUCCGGUAUGUACUGGUCUCGAUGGUUCCUCCUUCUUGUAGAACCGUAAUGCCAUUAAUUUGGUGUUGCGGGGAAACAGGACUGUUACUUUGAAAAAAUUAGAGUGUUUAAAGCAGGCGAUCGCUUGAAUGCAUUAGCAUGGAAUAAUGAAAUAGGACGUUCGAUCCUAUUUUGUUGGUUUCUAGGAUUGACGUA